Molecule: unclassified non-coding RNA, 2439 nt
Filed under: Hevea brasiliensis (rubber tree)
Lineage: Eukaryota; Viridiplantae; Streptophyta; Magnoliopsida; Malpighiales; Euphorbiaceae
Source: RNAcentral
GCAAUUUUCCCUCAAAAAUAGUUCAAAGCUUCACGAAAUGAACCCAAAAUAACACUUACAGGUUCGAGAAAUUCGUCAAAUUUGGCCGGAAAAAAUGGCUUCCGACGAAGGAACCAAUUUAGAUUCAUCUCGGUUGAAAUUUGGGACACCGGAGGCGUUGGAAGAGGUGCGGAAUCUCACUGACGUUGGAGACAUGACUAGACUUCUCCACGAGUGCAUUGCAUAUCAACGAGCCCUAGAUCUAGAACUGGAUACUAUCCUUUCACAUAGAUCUGACCUUGACAAGCAGCUUUCCGGCCUUCAAAAAUCCGCUCAAGUUCUCGACAUUGUUAAAGCUGACGCGGAUCACUUAUUCUCCAACAUCAGUUCAACUUCUCUCCUUGCUGAUCAGGUAAGCGCAAAAGUCCGUCAGCUCGAUCUAGGUCAGUCGCGUGUUAACGACACUCUCCUUCGAAUAGAUGCUAUCGUUGAUCGCUCUAAUUGUUUAGACGGUGUACGUAAGGCACUUGCAUCUGAGGACUUUGAAUCUGCUGCUAAUUAUGUUCAGACGUUCCUUCAACUUGACGCUAAGUACAAGGAUUCAGCUGCUUCUGACCAGAGAGACCAGCUCCUUGCCUCUAAGAAGCAGCUUGAAGGGAUUGUCCGGCGUAAAUUGGCAGAAGCAGUUGAUCAGCGUGAUCACUCCACCGUUCUGCGGUUCAUAAGGCUGUAUCCUCCGUUGGCAUUGGAGGAGGAGGGACUGCAAGUGUACGUGAUGUAUUUGAAGAAGGUAAUUGCCAUGAGAUCGCGCCUUGAGUAUGAGCAAUUGGUUGAAAUGAUGAGUGAUCAGCAGGGAUCCAGCCAGAACCAGCUUAAUUUUGUAUCCUGUUUGACUAAUUUAUUCAAAGAUAUCGUCUUGGCUAUUGAAGAGAAUGAUGAAACUUUAAGGAGCUUGUGUGGAGAGGAUGGCAUUGUUUAUGCAAUAUGUGAACUUCAAGAAGAGUGUGAUUCUCGUGGUUCUACUAUUAUAAAGAAGUACAUGGAGUACAGGAAACUAGCGAAAGUGACUUCUGAGAUUAAUUCUUACAAGAGCGAUUUGCUGUCUGUUGGAAUCGAAGGACCAGACCCCAGAGAUAUCGAAGUAUAUUUGGAGGAGAUCUUGUCUUUGACACAGUUGGGUGAGGAUUACACGGGGUAUAUGAUAUCGAAGAUUAGGGGUUUGAGUUCUGUUGAUCCCGAAUUAGGUCCCCGUGCCACAAAGGCUUUUAGGAGUGGUAAUUUCAGUAAAGUUGUGCAAGACAUUACCGGUUAUUAUGUGAUAUUGGAAGGAUACUUCAUGGUUGAGAAUGUGAGAAAAGCUAUAAAAAUUGAUGAACUCGUGUUCGAUAGUCUCACAACUUCCAUGGUGGACGAUGUCUUCUAUGUUCUGCAGAGCUGUUGUCGAAGGUCCAUUUCCACUUCAAAUAUCAACUCUGUGAUUGCAGUUUUAAGCAGUGCUGUAAGUCUAUUAGGCGGUGAGUUCAAUGAGGCUUUGCAACAGAAAGUCAGAGAGCCUAAUCUUGGAGCCAAGCUGUUCUCUGGCGGCGUUGCUGUACAAAAGAAUGGUACAGAGAUUGCCACGGCUUUGAAUAAUAUGGAUGUGAGUGGUGAGUAUGCAUUGAAAUUACGGCAUGAGAUUGAAGAACAAUGUGCUGAGGUGUUUUCUGCACCAGCAGAUAGAGAGAGGGUCAAAUCAUGUUUAUCUGAAUUAAAUGAGACAAGCAAUGGUUUCAAGAAGGCCUUGAACAUUGGCUUGGAACAACUAGUGGCUACUGUGACGCCUCGAAUUCGGCCAGUGUUGGAUACUGUUGCAACAAUCAGUUAUGAGCUGUCUGAAUCUGAAUAUGCUGACAAUGAGGUAAAUGACCCAUGGGUUCAAAGGCUUCUCCAUGCGGUAGAGACCAAUGUGGCUUGGCUUCAACCAUUAAUGACUGCUAACAAUUAUGACUCGUUUGUACAUCUGGUCAUUGACUUUGUUGUUAAGAGGCUUGAGGUUAUCAUGAUGCAAAAGAGAUUCAGUCAACUUGGUGGUCUUCAACUUGACAGAGAUAUUCGAGCACUUGUGAGCUACUUCUCCAACAUGACCCAGAGGACUGUUAGGGACAAGUUUGCUCGUCUAACCCAAAUGGCUACAAUAUUAAACUUGGAGAAGGUCUCUGAGAUUCUGGAUUUCUGGGGUGAGAACUCAGGACCCAUGACCUGGCGACUUACUCCAGCUGAGGUUAGAAGAGUGUUGAGUUUGAGGGUUGACUUCAAAUCUGAGGCAAUAUCGGCUCUUAAGUUGUAAACCUUUUUAUGGUUCAAUUUUGUUCAAUAUCUCUUUAUAUGCUUGGUGUUGCCACAUUUAAAAUUUUCAGGUUUAUUUACUUCUAUAAGAGAUUGUAUUGGGCACGAAAUCUAUGAAAUAUUGUUCAAUCGAAC